This 301-nucleotide ribosomal RNA is filed under the name uncultured bacterium. RNAcentral's name for it is "partial 16S ribosomal RNA". It matches the Rfam family "Bacterial small subunit ribosomal RNA", at positions 509 to 809 of the family's 1533-position model. The record is from RNAcentral.
CAGUCGCCGCGGGAAUACGUAGGUCCCGAGCGUUGUCCGGAUUUAUUGGGCGUAAAGCGAGCGCAGGCGGUUUCUUAAGUCUGAUGUGAAAGCCCCCGGCUCAACCGGGGAGGGUCAUUGGAAACUGGGAAACUUGAGUGCAAAAGAGGAGAGCGGAAUUCCACGUGUAGCGGCGAAAUGCGUAGAGAUGUGGAGGAACACCAGUGGCGAAGGCGACUCUCUGGUCUGUAACUGACGCUGAGGAGCGAAAGCGUGGGGAGCGAACAGGAUUAGAUACCCCCGUAGUCCCUGUCUCUUAUCA